RNAcentral lists this ribosomal RNA (333 nucleotides) under uncultured bacterium. RNAcentral's name for it is "bacterial SSU rRNA". It matches the Rfam family "Bacterial small subunit ribosomal RNA", at positions 568 to 898 of the family's 1533-position model. The record is from RNAcentral.
AGCGUAGGCGGUUUUUUAAGUUAUAUGUGAAAUCCCUCGGCUUAACCGAGGAACUGCAUAUAAAACUGGAAGACUGGAGUGUGGGAGAGGAAAGUAGAAUUCCUAGUGUAGCGGUGGAAUGCGUAGAUAUUAGGAGGAAUACCGGUGGCGAAGGCGACUUUCUGGACCAUAACUGACGCUGAGGCUCGAAAGCGUGGGGAGCAAACAGGAUUAGAUACCCUGGUAGUCCACGCCCUAAACGAUGCAUACUAAAUGAAGGCGGUAUCGACUCCGCCUGUGUUGUAGCAAACGCGAUAAGUAUGCCGCCUGGGGAGUACGGCCGCAAAGGUUGAA